RNAcentral lists this transfer RNA (73 nucleotides) under Ixodes scapularis (black-legged tick). It matches the Rfam family "tRNA". Rfam says of the family: Transfer RNA (tRNA) molecules are approximately 80 nucleotides in length. Lineage: Eukaryota; Metazoa; Arthropoda; Arachnida; Ixodida; Ixodidae. The record is from Rfam by way of RNAcentral.
UCCUGGUUUGCUCAGUUGGCAGAGCGCUCCACUGGAAAUGGGGAGGUCCCUGGAUGGAUACAAGGACCGGGCC